AGAGUUUGAUCAUGGCUCAGGACGAACGCUGGCGGCGUGCCUAAUACAUGCAAGUCGAGCGGACUUAAAAAGCUUGCUUUUUAAGUUAGCGGCGGACGGGUGAGUAACACGUGGGCAACCUGCCUGUAAGACUGGGAUAACUUCGGGAAACCGGAGCUAAUACCGGAUAAUCCUUUUCUACUCAUGUAGAAAAGCUGAAAGACGGUUUACGCUGUCACUCACAGAUGGGCCCGCGGCGCAUUAGCUAGUUGGUGAGGUAACGGCUCACCAAGGCGACGAUGCGUAGCCGACCUGAGAGGGUGAUCGGCCACACUGGGACUGAGACACGGCCCAGACUCCUACGGGAGGCAGCAGUAGGGAAUCUUCCGCAAUGGACGAAAGUCUGACGGAGCAACGCCGCGUGAGUGAUGAAGGUUUUCGGAUCAUAAAACUCUGUUGUAAGGCAAGAAACACUAUUAGAGUAACUGCUC
RNAcentral lists this ribosomal RNA (470 nucleotides) under uncultured Bacillus sp. Its description in RNAcentral is "bacterial SSU rRNA". It matches the Rfam family "Bacterial small subunit ribosomal RNA", at positions 8 to 478 of the family's 1533-position model. Lineage: Bacteria; Bacillati; Bacillota; Bacilli; Caryophanales; Bacillaceae. The record is from RNAcentral.